RNAcentral lists this ribosomal RNA (454 nucleotides) under Salmonella enterica. RNAcentral's name for it is "partial 23S ribosomal RNA". It matches the Rfam family "Bacterial large subunit ribosomal RNA", at positions 66 to 559 of the family's 2925-position model. RNAcentral also lists the same sequence under 4 other names. The record is from RNAcentral. Lineage: Bacteria; Pseudomonadati; Pseudomonadota; Gammaproteobacteria; Enterobacterales; Enterobacteriaceae.
CUGCGAUAAGCGCCGGUAAGGUGAUAUGAACCGUUAUAACCGGCGAUACCCGAAUGGGGAAACCCAGUGUGACUCGUCACACUAUCAUUAACUGAAUCCAUAGGUUAAUGAGGCGAACCGGGGGAACUGAAACAUCUAAGUACCCCGAGGAAAAGAAAUCAACCGAGAUUCCCCCAGUAGCGGCGAGCGAACGGGGAGGAGCCCAGAGCCUGAAUCAGCAUGUGUGUUAGUGGAAGCGUCUGGAAAGGCGCGCGAUACAGGGUGACAGCCCCGUACACAAAAGCGCAUGUGCUGUGAGCUCGAUGAGUAGGGCGGGACACGUGGUAUCCUGUCUGAAUAUGGGGGGACCAUCCUCCAAGGCUAAAUACUCCUGACUGACCGAUAGUGAACCAGUACCGUGAGGGAAAGGCGAAAAGAACCCCGGCGAGGGGAGUGAAAAAGAACCUGAAACCGU